Molecule: long non-coding RNA, 7285 nt
Filed under: Nicotiana benthamiana
Lineage: Eukaryota; Viridiplantae; Streptophyta; Magnoliopsida; Solanales; Solanaceae
Description: long non-coding RNA (NBEN_LNC035441)
Source: RNAcentral
UGUAUUUUUGGAUACCAUGCCUGUAGGUUUAACAUGAUUCCUGCAUUAGAUACCAUGCCUAUAGGUUUGAGAACAAGCUUCUGCACGCAGAUGCUACGUCUAAAAUCAGUAAUGUAUAGAAAGCAUGUCUAUAGGAUUUUCUAAAUGAAUAUGAUUCGUUUUACUCAGCGUUAGAUAUAAAAUCAGUAAUAAUGGAUCCUGACAGUCGCAUAACUUGUAAUCAAUUAGUUUAAAUUCAUCCCCUCUUUAAUAAUCUGAGUCCCUCGCUUAACCAAAAUUUAGCAAGCAUGCAUAUAGGGUUUUUAAAUAAUUCGUCUUGAGUUUUAAUGUCUUAUUACCUUCCAAAUUUAGUAGAUAUCAUGUCUAUAGGACCCCAUCUUAACACUUAGUCAAGCCUUAUGAUAAUCACUAUUAAAAAUGAGUUUGCUUCUGUUAACUAUCACAACCAGUAGGCAUGCCUGAUUCAGGCUUCUAAUCUAAAUUAUGUAAUAAACCAUGUCUGCCUCAACUUUUAAACUAACCACUGCAUAUUCAAAUACCUAUAGAAAUCAUGCCUAUAGGUUGUUCUGAUUCUGCAUAUAUAUCAAUCAUGUUCUGUAUGUUUGGAUACCAUGCAUGUAGGUUUAAAAUGAUUCCUGCAUUAGAUACCAUACCUAUAGGUUUGAGAACAAGCUUCUGCACCCAGAUGCUACGUCUAAAAUCAGCAAUGUAUAGAAAGCAUUCCUAUAGGAUUUUCUAAACGAAUCUGAUUCGUUUCACCCACUAUUUGAUAUAAAAUCGGUAAUAACGGAUAAUGUGAGUUGCAGAACUUGUAAUCAAUUCAUUUAAAUUUAGCCCCUCUUUAAUAAUAUGUGUCUCUCGCUUAAUCAAAGUUUAGCAAACAUGCCUAUAGGGUUUUUAAAUAAUUCAUCUUGAGUUUUAAUGUCUUAUUACAUUUCAAUUCAGUAGAUAUCAUGUAUAUAGGACCUCGUCUUAACACUUAGGCAAGUCUUAGGAUAAUAACUAUUAAAAAAAUGAAUCUGCUUCGGUUAACUAUUACAACCAGUAGACAUGCCUGAUUCGGGCUUCUUAAUGAGUUUGCUUCUGUUAACUAUCACAACCAGUAGGCAUGCCUGAUUCAGGCUUCUAAUCUAAAUUAUGUAAUAAACCAUGUCUGCCUCAACUUUUAAACUCUCUCAUAUUUGGUAUUUAAUCAGACCUAAACAAUAUGUGAAAGUCAUGCUAAUUAUAUGCUUUCUUUGUUUAAGGAGGUAUAUGUGAGCUUUCUUUGUUUAUGUGCUUUCCCAAAAAUAUGCAAUAUGUAUUUUGUCUGUCGCCCUAGAGUUUUUACCUUUGAAACUUCAAAUAAGCCUAAUAUCUCUCCUUUUUAGGAUAAGUAGCCUUAAGUGCCUCUAGGACUGAUAGGAGUGGGACGGGUAAUAGCAUGCAAUAAGCAAUUGAGGCCAAUCUAUGCUUUAAAUACCUCAACGGGGUGGGAAGUGUAGAUAUUGAUAUGAUGACCAUGCGAUAAUAUCAUGUGUAGCCAUUCAUUGAGGAGUGAUUACCAGACAUUGUGUGGGAUGAUCCAUAUUUGUAAUAAACCUAGGACCCCCUUCCCUUGAUUAUUUACUUCUUUUCAGCAUUUUUAAUCAGUUUCUCUAAAUUGCUCUUUCAAAUCUUGUUUACUUCCAAACCAUUAUGUGUUGAAAUUCCCUCUUAUUUGAGAUUUAUUUGUUUAUAUGUAAGUGUACCCAAAUUCAUAAUAAUUGUCUGGCCGGGAACCACACUAGUGGAUUCUGAGAGGUGCCUAACACCUUCCCCUUAGAAUAAUUUUGAGCCCUUACCCAAUCCCUGGUUAUUCAAAUCAAACCAUUAUGGUGUCCUAAUGUACCCUAAUCAUUAGGUGGCAGCCCUUAACCAAUCCCUGGUUAUUCAAAUAAAACCAUUAUGGUGUCCUAAUGUACCCUAAUCAUUAGGUGGCGACUCUUCAAGUACAAACCCAGUUCCAAAAAGGAACAAGUUGUCCCUCCAAAUGUCAUAAAUCCGAAUUCCACGGAGGAAAUAUGGGGCACGACAGUUCCAACACCCAAGGACAGAUCAGUCAUUGGCUUAAAAUGGGUCUUCAAAAACAAACUUGAUGAAGAUGGAACAGUUACAAGAAACAAGGCAAGACUGGUGGUCCAAGGUUACAGCCACGAGAAGGGUAUAGAUUAUGAUGAGACUUUUGCUCCAGUUGUAAGACUAGAGGCAAUAAGACUUAUCAUAGCCCUUACAGCACAUAUGGGAUUCACUGUUCAUUAGAUGGAUAUCAAAAGUUCCUUCUUGAAUGGCUACCUAAAAGAAGAAGCGUUUGUGAAACAACCUCCAAGGUUUGAAAGCAAGGAAUGUCCUGAGCAUGUGUACAAAUUAGACAAGGCUCUCUACGAACUCAAGCAGGCUCCUAGAGCAUAGUAUGAACAAUUUUCCAAAUUCCUGAUUGAACAUGGCUACAAAAGAGGUAAAGCUGAUAGUACUCUGUUCUUGAGAGAAAAAGGUAAAGAUCUUCUAGUGGUACAAAUAUAUAUUGAUGACAUAAACUUUGGGUCCACCAUUGAUAAAGUAAGUAAGGAUUUUGCCAAAUUCAUGGGGAGUGAGUUUGAAAUGAGUAUGAUGUGUGAGCUUAAAUUUUUCUUAGGCUUAAAGAUAAAACAAAUCCUAAAUAGCACCAUGAUCCAUCAGCAGAAAUAUGUAAAGGAGCUUAUCAAAUAGUUCAAAAUGGAUGAAUCAAAGGAAAUAGACACUCCCAUUGCAAUUGCCACUAGAUUAAACAUAGAUGAACCUAGUUCAUCUGUUGAUCAGAAGUUGUAUAGGGGUAUGAUUGGUUCACUUUUAUAUCUUACUGCCAGCGGACCUUACAUAGUUUUUAGUGUAGGGAUUUUUGCUUGCUUCCAGGCUAAUCCAACAGAGACUCACUUGAGUUCUGUCAAAAGGAUACUAGAUAUUUGAAAUGCACUACUGAUAUGUGUCUUUGUUGCCCUGAAGGUAGUAAUUUCAAUCUAGUAGGGUAUGAUGAUGCUAAUUAAGUAGGUUUUCUUGUGGAUAGGAAAAGCACCUCAAGCAUAGCUCAUUUUCUUGGUUCAUGUCUUGUAUCAUGGGCUACUAAAAAGAAAAAUUCAAUAGCUUAUCGAAUGUUGAGGCUGAAUAUGUUCUUGCCGCCUCUUGUUAUGCUCAAUUUCUAUGGAUUAAACAGCAGCUGGUAGAUUUUGGUAUUGAAGUUGGUUGUAUUCUUGUAUUUUGUGAUAGACUUGUGCUAUAAGUAUGACAAAGAACCUGUUUCAUUAUAAUAGGACUAAGCACGUAGAUGCUAGACAGCACUUCUUAAGAGAUAACUAUGAGAAAGGAUUUAUCUUCAUAGAAUUUUGUGCUAUUGAUAAAAAAUUCAUGACAUCUUCACUAAAGCAUUUUGUAGAGAAAUCUUUGAGAGGAACAGGUUGGAAUUAGAAAUGAUUAAGAUCACCUAACAGGUCUAGAUCAGAAUGCACAAUGAAAAUAAAAAUUGAAAAAUUGAAAUUGUUUUUUUGGCUAGGAACUUUGAACUUGUGUAAGUAUCUACAUUAAUUCUUACUCAGCUUCAUACUUUAGUUAGCAUACUCCUAUAACAUGUGUUAAUAUGAUUCAUCGAUCUCUUGCCAAAUUUUCUCUAUUAUGGUAAUUGAGACAUGUUUAAGAGAAUUCUAAAUGAAAAACCUAGUUCAUCAGUAUGGAUUCAUCUGAAAACUAAGGAAUGUUUUCUAUACUCUGUACAAUUAGAAAUAUAAAUAUUUAAAUCAUGAGAAGAAGUCCUACAAUUGUUCAAUUACUAAAAAAUUCUAUCCGUUAGGUUUGAACCAGUUCCGUCUGCCUAGAACUCUAAACCGAAAAAAUUGCCUAAAAUCUAGGAAAGAUAAACCGAUCAUUCAAAAAUGAAGUUUCAGGUUGAUUAGACCUCUAAUUGACCACUGCUAAAGCUGAUGUUACCCAUUAAAUGUGUAUUUCUCAUUAAAUACACAUUAUUCCUUCUGCCAACUCCAUAAUCUGAACUGUCAAUUUUCUUUCUUCACUCUCACUUGCCUUCUUCUUAUCCAAAAUUCUAACUCCCUAAUUCUCUAAAAAAGCCAGUGAUCAUGACCAACCCAUAAGACAAUCCUGGAACUCCUCCACAACUCACUCCAUCUGAUUCAUCACCCUCUCAUCCACCCAACACUACUCCCAAACCUAGGUUAAGAAGGGUUAAAAUUCUUGCUCGAAAAACAGUAGUGACUAGAACUCUCAAGAAGAAAUUAAAUGAGAAAUUAAAGGCAAGCCAAGGCCCAGACUCCGACUCCAACUUUGAUUCUGAGUCAUACAAAUCUGCUAGUAAAGGGGAAGGACCUGGGUCUUCUGAUUCUGAAAAGACUCAAGAAUCCCCUUCUAAGGUAAGUUCUUCUAUGAAUGAAAAUUUAGAAACUAGGUUUGUUCUGGUUGGACCUAGUAAGGAUAUAGAAUUACCUGAGUUAUGAAGGAGUAGAGGUAAAAAGAAUUAUGAAAAAAAAAAACAGAGAGAGAGGGUGCAUGUGGUGAAGAAAGAGGAAAUAGGAAAAGAGUGGUUGAUCAUUCACCCACUGCUAGGCUGUAUGUGCUUGAUAUUUCUGGGUCUCAACAAGAACUUGUAGAAGAAAGUGGCAACAAGUUAGGGGGAAGUGGUUCUGCUGAAGCUACUGAAGGGUUGGUUAACUUAAGUUCAAAAAGAGAUGAACCUAGUUCAUAAGUUGAAGAAAUCCUAGAAGACCUUUUGAAAAAGUUUGGAGCGAGUCAUGAUCCAAAUAAAAGAUCAACUACCACACCAAAAGCCCCCAGUGCUCCCAAUUUUUUUAAGAAAAGAAAGACUUCCUCCCCAACACUUACUGCACUUCCUUGCCAAAGGGAAGAACCACAAGAAGCAGGGUGAAACAGAGAUAGACUGGUCUACGAAGGGCUUUAGCUGAAAGUAAGGAGAAAAGAAUGGAUAAAAGAAAAGGGAAGGUUGUAGAGUCCUCAGAGGCUACUGAAGUCGAGGAGAUGGAACGGGCCCAUCAAGAAAAGGUUACACCAAUGGAGGUUCUGACGCCCCAAGACUAAAAAGCCCAAGACUUCUUCCAAGAAGUCUUUCUCUAUGUCUGAGGCUGUUGAAACUUCAGUAGCCAAGAGGACAAGGUCUGCACCCCAAAAGCCCAAGACUUCUUCGAAGAAGUCUUUCUCUGUGUCUGAGGCUGUUGAACCUUCAGUAGCCAAGAGGACAAGGUCUGCAGUGAAAAACAAACAAGCAAAGAUUUCUGAAGAUGAGGAUGGAGUGGAGAAUAAGUAGAAGAUGAUUUUGAUGGUGAACAGGACAAGCUUUCCAUGUUUGGCAAAAUAAAGAUUUUAAAGGGUAGCUGCUGAAAGACCUAGUGGAACCAGGAAUGAUAAUAUUGGUUUAUUCUUUCGCUGCUCAGGGAUGGAAGGACAUGGUCCUUCAGACUGAUGGUAGGCUAGCCAGAAAUGAGCUAAUUGAGUUUAUGGUAAAUGUAGAGGUUAAGGAUGGCAAGUUUAGUAGCUUGGUGAAAGGAGUUCAAGAGUAUUUUGAUGCAGAAAAAUUGAGAGAGAUCCUGGACAUACCCUCUGAAGGGUUUGAUUACUAUACAAGAAAAAGGUGGCCUUGCCUAGACUCUCUCCCUAUUGCUCUUGUAAUUACUAGGUGUCACACCUUCCUUUUUCACUUACACCCUCCGAAUGGGUAUAAGAAGGGAGUUUUUCCAAUUAAAGGGCAAUCGAAACGGGAUAUUUGUUGAUUAAAAGAAUUCAAAAUCGUUACUUGGGAUAAUUAUGGUGUCUCAAAUCGCCGGUUUGAAUCCUGAAUCGAGGAAAGAUUAACUCUGUUUUACAGUCCAUGAACCAGAAAUCCAGGUAAGGAAAUCUGUUAAACCGGGAGAAGGUGUUAGGCAUUUCCGGAUUCCGUGGUUCUAGCAUGGUCGCUCAACUAUUUUAAAUGGCCUAUUAUUUGAUUUUAUUACAAGUUUAAAACCUAUGUGCAUUUUUAAACUUAAUCGCUUCUAAUUAUCUUUAAGGAAAAAUUGUAAUGUCAUUUAAAAUAUGUUUUGGACCGCGUCACAUAAAUGCACCCGCAGUCCGCAGCAUAUUUAUAUAAUAUUGUUGAGAUUUGGAUUUGGGUCACAUAAAUGCACCCGAGUUUAGGAAGGUAAUUUAUUAAAAUAACGCGCCUAAAGCAACUACGCGUUUGCAACUAUGCGAGGGCCAUAAAAAUUCGCUAAAUGGCACGCCUCAAUUUCAAAGGAUUAAAUUAAUUAAGUGAAGGUCAUAAGUUUUGAGAUUUUAUUUGGCAUGACACGCCUCAAAUUAUUUUAAAGGGAUUUAUUAUUCGAAGUUAUUAUAAUCGGAUUACAUGAAAUGCACCUCCUAAUUUUCUUAGUCUAGAUAACGUCACAAAUAGCCAAGCAAACAAGAUCAUCCAAGAACAUUUAAAUAAUUAUGGAACUAAAAACUAUUCUCUUUGUUACUUGUACAGUGGCUUGUUUUUCAAGUCCUUCUACUGCUUUUACUGUAUUUUGCUUCCUUGAAUAAGAACACUAAUAAAAAGGAUCGAAAUAUAACAAAAACGUCAAUUUUUGCCCCCAACAACAUAGCCUUUUUCCUUCAAUAUGGGGUUUUCCAUUUAAGUACAAGAAAUGAACAAAUUCACAGUAGCAUUAGCACUAGAGAUUUCAGAAGGUUCCAUUAUAAAGUUUAAAAAAUAAUAAUAAUGACAGAGAGUAGUAUAAGGAAAAAGAAAGGCAACAAUGGAAGAGAAAUGAGGAGAGUAGUGGAUGAAGUAAUCAAAAAAAGAAGAGUAAAAUGUAACAAAAUACUGAUAAGAAGAAACUAACCAACUGCCAGAUCAUAUCUCCAAACAAAAGAUCAUCAAAAUAUAUAGCUAACAAAAAAAAAAUAAAAAAAUUCAAAACAUGACUUCAAAUAAGAAAAGAAAUCCAUUCAUCACUAACUAUAACAAAAUACAAAGGGGCUCUUUUGAGUUUACCUCUUGAGCAAGCAAAGCAAUAAGGAGAAGACAAAUAGAAGCUGAAAAGAAAAACAGUAAGGAUGGAGCUCAAUGGCAAAUCCGAGUAAAACAGCAGCAAAAAUUGGAUGAUUCCAGAUUAUUUUUCUUUUCAUUUUCAAAUUUCCAUUUUUCUAUUUUUCGAUAUCAGAUCUAUUUCUUAAACUACUUCAAUGUGUGUUCAUGAAGAGUGUUUUCCAAUGUGAAUCGAAGGAGGGAGGUCAUGAGAGAAGAUGAGAG